GUUGGCGGCACAAUCUGCAAUCUACGCCACUGGCUUACGUUGCAAUCGAAAAUCGUGUCCAGUGCCGUAAAUUGCAGUUGUGUGAACGCAAA
Molecule: non-coding RNA, 92 nt
Organism: Drosophila melanogaster (fruit fly)
Lineage: Eukaryota; Metazoa; Arthropoda; Insecta; Diptera; Drosophilidae
Gene: mir-978
Source: Ensembl